Molecule: ribosomal RNA, 322 nt
Filed under: uncultured eukaryote
Lineage: Eukaryota
Description: partial 18S ribosomal RNA
Rfam family: Eukaryotic small subunit ribosomal RNA
Source: RNAcentral
CCCUUAGAUGUUCUGGGCUGCACGCGCGCUACACUGAAGCGUUCAACGAGUAUUUCACCUUGCCCGGGAGGGUUGGGUAAUCUUUUUAAAACGCUUCGUGAUGGGGAUAGAUUAUUGCAAUUAUUAAUCUUCAACGAGGAAUUCCUAGUAAACGCAAGUCAUCAGCUUGCAUUGAUUACGUCCCUGCCCUUUGUACACACCGCCCGUCGCACCUACCGAUUGAAUGGUCCGGUGAAAUCUCGGGACGGCGGCUCGGUCGCUUGCGUCCGACUGCUGAAACUUGAUUAAACCAUAUCAUUUAGAGGAAGGUGAAGUCGUAACA